UUUAACAAUUAUGAUUUGGAAUACACAGAAAGCGAAAGAAACUACUACACUUAAGAGAAGGAAAACAGUAAUGAGAAAUAAGAUAGAGCAGAAGAAGUUGAUGAGGGAGUCACUGAAGACAACUAAAAGAGAUGCCGCAGAGGGUAAGUCAAGGUAUAGGUUGUUGAAGAUGAUGAGGAAUGAGCUUAGGGAUGAGGUGAAUGGAGUUAUCAACGACUUUGUGAGAUUGCGGGCAUUGGAGACAUUGGUGAUGCAGGAGCUGGGUUUCUUUUGAAACUCCACACUUCUAUCAAAUGCCUUGUUUAAAUUAGAAAUGCAAAUCCACAUUAUAUAUACUCUUACUUAUCAAAAAAAGAACGAUUUUGGGUCUGAGAAAAUUAGAAAGAUGGAUACCAAGACAGUAUUUUUCUUAACUUAUUAUCUUUGCUAUAAACCGCUUUAUUCUUUAAGUCAGUUGCUGUCAAACUUCACCCUUCAAACCCAUACCAGAGGUAGAGAAAAACUAAUUAUUUGUUCAAAAGUUUGAUUUGUUUCGGCCUUUGAAAUAUUUGUUGUAAUGGCCAAUUUUGGCCCAAGUCAAUAGACCCAAAAUAACAAAAAGAGUUCAAAAAAUAUAAACAGUCAAUUUACAAAUAACCCAAUUAUUAAAAAAGCCCAAACCAAAAUCCUGUUAGCCCAUUACCUAAACUAACCCUAAUAGCCCAACUACCCAAAAUGUUUCAGCAACCCUAACCCCUACCUUGUCUGCCGCCACUCUUCACCAAAUGGCCACAGCAUACACCACCAAUCGCAGGCCUCACGCGCAUCUGACACCACCUGCAAGCACGCAAGCAACAGACAAACAAACAACAAGCAAAAAAACAAAAAGAAGCAGAAAACAAAGAGCAAAAAAAACAAGAAAGAAAAAAUAGAUAAUAGAAGUAGAAUGAGUCGAUCUUCGGCUAUAAAAGGCCACAUUCGACUUCUUUGUUUUUUUACGCAUAUUAGGCAAUCAAAAAGCAAUAUACCAGCAAAAAAGGUUGAUGUCUGGCUUUACUUUUCUUUAUCUUCAUUUUCGUUUUUUUCAUUUCUUUAAUAUUUCAUUUUGAUUUUAACACAAAUCUAUUAAGUAAGAGUAGAUAUAAAACAAGAAAAGAAAAGGAGAGAGGAACCUCACCUGAAUCGUUCGCUGUUGCGUCGCCGGAGGUCUCCCCUCUGUCGUCGGGACUACAAAGGGGUGGGGAUCCAUUUUCCUCGUUUCCUUCUGACUCAAAGAAGGCCAGGCCUUCGAACUCCUCUUGGAACAAGGCCGAGCGACUCAUUUCGGUGUAUCACCGGCCACCAAACUAGGUGGUGGCGCGGUGGUCGCAUGACUGAGCAAAAUGGGGGGGCUUAAAACCCUAGCAGAGGAAUUGAAAUGGGGGGGUGUUUAAAAGUUUUCAAACAGCAGUAAAAGAAUGAAAUCUAAAAAAAAAAAGAGGGAAAUUUUUUAGCUUAAAUGAAAGGAGCAAACAACACCGUUUAGAAAGGGGAGGGGUCCGCAUGUCUCCCUUGAAUGGGAAAUUGCCCACUUUGACCCCUCCCCCUUUUCUGACCCUUGAUUUGAUCCUGAUUUGCGUUUUUAUCCUUUCAAAUAGUGCCCAAUUAUUUUGUUUCAUCG
This 1639-nucleotide long non-coding RNA is filed under the name Gossypium barbadense (sea-island cotton). RNAcentral's name for it is "long non-coding RNA (GBAR_LNC010710)". The record is from RNAcentral. Lineage: Eukaryota; Viridiplantae; Streptophyta; Magnoliopsida; Malvales; Malvaceae.